ACUUAGCCCUGAUGGGAAUGGAAAUCCUUUAUUUUUCUGGUUGUUCCAGAAAAAUAAAGAUUGAAAUGCACAGCAGGAUAGAUA
This 84-nucleotide small RNA is filed under the name Flavobacterium segetis. RNAcentral's name for it is "Flavo-1 RNA". It matches the Rfam family "Flavo-1 RNA". Lineage: Bacteria; Pseudomonadati; Bacteroidota; Flavobacteriia; Flavobacteriales; Flavobacteriaceae. The record is from RNAcentral.